Argentina anserina (silverweed cinquefoil) is the source of this 1243-nucleotide long non-coding RNA. RefSeq lists it as uncharacterized. The record is from RefSeq and is a predicted model, not a curated record. The transcript has 7 exons. NCBI's taxonomy places the organism in Eukaryota, Viridiplantae, Streptophyta, Magnoliopsida, Rosales, Rosaceae.
UCAGAUCUCAAAAACCCUCUACGACCUUUCCUCUAAACCCAAGAAUCCUUUGCUCCAAACGCAUCCCCAAUAUCAAAACCCCCAAAAUCAAAACCAUCCCUCAACUCCUCUCCAUUCACGACUUUGAAGACUUUGACGGUGACGACGGCAACAAAAUCCUUCGUAUUUGCAUAUGGGAAAUUGAUCCUCUCCGCCUCUCUAAUUUCGUGAUGGGUUUUGCUAUUGGGAACCAAUUUGCAUAUGGGUUUUGCAGUCUCCCUCCCCGACUACUACGACCGCUCCCCUCUACCUCGAAGGUCUCCGCCACCUGGGUUUAAGCGGUAGGGAGUCCCUAGAUAGAGCUAAAUGCCAUGGCGUCGGAUCAGAACAUGAGUUGCUGGACCGAUCUCCUCCACUCCUCCACCAAGCUUCUCGAACAAGCCGCUCAUUUUCCCCCUCUCCAGAUUAUAAAUAGGCUUCUCAAACAUUUGAAUGGUAUUCCUGGUGCCAAGAAUUUGUUAAUUUUCUUGAAUGGAUAUCAAGGACAAGAGAGGACAUUAUGACAACGGUGAAUUUAAUGGGCGCUCAAUUUUCUAAACCAUUGGUGGCAAGUAGAGUCACUCAUCUCAUUUGUUAUAAAUUUGAAGGUAUGGUUUCUCUCCUAUGCCCUUUACUAAUAAUGUGAACUUGUAGCUGCAGCUUCUUAAUGAAGGCCCACUGUUAUGCAUGCUAUUCUGAAAAUGAAAUGGGAAUCGGACAUGAUCUACCAUUAGGAAGAUAUGAGUUACACAACUUAUGCAAUUGAUAGUUGACCAGCUUGACCGUUGAGAUCAUAGUCAUUUCUUGAUGAGGGCAGAGUGUACUUGCCCAGUAAUCAUCAUAGAUGUGCCAAGUUUGUAAGGUCUUUGAGAAGAGGAAGUAUGGAGUUGCUAAUCUCCACGAAGGCAGCAGGAUAAUCACCGCCAGUUCGGACAUACUGUGCCAUUAAGGUUUAGGAACAUUGUUGAAUGAACCAACGUCUUCGGAACCUACUAAACACCAGUUUAUCAAGGAAUUUUAAUCCAUUCAGUACUAAGAGUAGCAAAAAUGUCUUGGUGACCACAAAAUGGGACAAUUUUGAAUUGGGAGUUAGAAGACUUCACUGCUGGGUAAAGAUAUUAGGCACCAUCCUGAUUUUGUAUGUAUUUGUGUAAAAUGAAACUAUGUGGCUUUCAUAAACUACGUAAAUAAUAUACACUUAUUUCAUAUAUUUGUCAGUUGGUGA